This 126-nucleotide ribosomal RNA is filed under the name Oryza sativa Indica Group (long-grained rice). Lineage: Eukaryota; Viridiplantae; Streptophyta; Magnoliopsida; Poales; Poaceae. The record is from RNAcentral.
CGGAUGCGAUCAUACCAGCACUAAAGCACCGGAUCCCAUCAGAACUCCGAAGUUAAGCGUGCUUGGGCGAGAGUAGUACUAGGAUGGAUGGGUGACCUCCUGGGAAGUCCUCGUGUUGCAUCCCUC